AGCCUACCUAGCACAUGUGGUGGACACUAGGCAUGUUAAGCCAGAUCUGUGUGACAUACCCACAGUAAGAGACUUUCCAGAUGUGUUCCCUGAAGAAUUGUCUGGCUUGCCACAAGAAAGGAAAGUCGAAUUUACUAUUGAGAUACUGCCGGAUAUAGCACCAAUUUCUAUUGCUCCUUAUAGGAUGGCACUUACUGAGUUAAAGGAGUUGAAAAUCAAGUUGCAGGAGUUACUGGGUAAGGGGUUCAUACGCUCCAGUGUGUCAUCAUGGGGAGCUCCAGUGCUGUUUG
RNAcentral lists this unclassified non-coding RNA (290 nucleotides) under Hevea brasiliensis (rubber tree). Lineage: Eukaryota; Viridiplantae; Streptophyta; Magnoliopsida; Malpighiales; Euphorbiaceae. The record is from RNAcentral.